AGCACUUCCUGCCAAGAUGGAGGUUUAGGUAGAUAUAUUUGCCUCCUUGUACAGCCAAAAGAAAGGCAACAAAUUUAAAAACAAAAACAACCAGAACUGCCAGAAAAUUGAACUUACAAACAAAGGAGU
This is a long non-coding RNA of Phyllostomus discolor (pale spear-nosed bat), 129 nucleotides long. RefSeq lists it as uncharacterized. NCBI's taxonomy places the organism in Eukaryota, Metazoa, Chordata, Mammalia, Chiroptera, Phyllostomidae. The transcript has 3 exons. The record is from RefSeq and is a predicted model, not a curated record.